RNAcentral lists this ribosomal RNA (254 nucleotides) under uncultured bacterium. RNAcentral's name for it is "partial 16S ribosomal RNA". It matches the Rfam family "Bacterial small subunit ribosomal RNA", at positions 524 to 776 of the family's 1533-position model. The record is from RNAcentral.
UACGGAGGGUGCAAGCGUUAUCCGGAUUCACUGGGUUUAAAGGGUGCGUAGGUGGGCAGGUAAGUCAGUGGUGAAAUCUCCUGGGCUUAACCCGGAACUGCCGUUGAUACUAUCUGUCUUGAAUAUAGUGGAGGUGAGCGGAAUAUGUCAUGUAGCGGUGAAAUGCUUAGAUAUGACAUAGAACAUCGAUUGCGAAGGCAGCUCGCUACACUAUGAUUGACACCUGAGGCACGAAAGCGUGGGGAUCAAACAGG